ACCAGACUCCUACGGGAGGCAGCAGUGGGGGAUAUUGCACAAUGGGGGGAACCCUGAUGCAGCGACGCCGCGUGGGUGAAGAAGCGCCUCGGCGCGUAAAGCCCUGUCAGCAGGGAAGAAAAUGACGGUACCUGAAGAAGAAGCCCCGGCUAACUACGUGCCAGCAGCCGCGGUAAUACGUAGGGGGCAAGCGUUAUCCGGAUUUACUGGGUGUAAAGGGAGCGUAGACGGCAGUGCAAGUCCGGAGUGAAAGCCCGGGGCUCAACCCUGGGACUGCUCUGGAAACUGUAAAGCUGGAGUGCCGGAGAGGUAGGCGGAAUUCCUAGUGUAGCGGUGAAAUGCGUAGAUAUUAGGAGGAACACCAGUGGCGAAGGCGGCCUACUGGACGGUGACUGACGCUGAGGCUCGAAAGCGUGGGGAGCAAACAGGAUUAGAUACCCCCGUAU
This 446-nucleotide ribosomal RNA is filed under the name uncultured bacterium. RNAcentral describes it as "bacterial SSU rRNA". It matches the Rfam family "Bacterial small subunit ribosomal RNA", at positions 330 to 793 of the family's 1533-position model. The record is from RNAcentral.